CUAUUCCUGCUGUCUCUACCCAUGCUAAAGGAAAGGCUUGUAGCCAUUUGUCCAUUCCUGGUUGUAUCUGACUCUUGGUUCAUAUAGGCGAUAUUCAUCAUCCAAUUUUAGGGUAAGUGGAUAGGCUUUCCUUCAAGGCCUUUAAUUUGUGGCCCCUCAGGAGAAAAUGAUUUUGGGCCCUCAUCUUGGAUAAUAAAUCUCAACCUAGCAGCGGGUAGGGGAGUCUGGAAUGACCAUGAGAGUGGGAUACCCAUCCUAGUGGGAUACCUAGAUCCACAGAUCUAUGGGUAGUCCAUGAGUAUUGUUUAGUACCAGUAGCCCCUGGCACCCAGGACCUCUUAUUUGAUAAAGGGCCCUCUCCGUAUGGAGUAGCACCAAGUGUUGGGCCCCAGUGUCUACCCAAAAUUGAGUGGGUUGCCCCUCCGCUUUCAGAGUUACCGUGGGCUCAGGGAGGGGCUCCGAGCCCUGGCCUCCCUAGUCUUCAUCUUCCUCCAGGGGCAAGGUUAAUACCUUGGGGCAAACCCCUGGCCCUCCCAUCUACAGAUGUUCCCAUGAGGCCCUGCCCUCACGGCUUUUUGUUGGGGCAGUCACAAGCCCAGUGGCCCAUCUCCUUACAGUACGCACACUGGUUCUUUCAGCGGGGCUCUCUCUUUGGUUUCAGUUUCCCUUCGAGUUUCUUUUACGAUUGUGGCCAGGCUCCGUUGGUUCGCACAGGUUUCUUUGACUACACUGGCCAGGAUCUGUUGGAGGUUUUUAUUUUGCCUUUUUUCUUUUUCCAUGCCCCUUUUUUUCCUGUUCCCUUUCUUUUCUUUCCUCUUUUUCUUCCUCAGUCUCUCUCUGGUUAAACACCCACUUUGCUAUUUGCACUAAUUCCCUCAGCGUCCUAUCCUGUAAUCCAUCUAUCUUUUGUAACUUCUUACGAAUAUCCUUACUGGACUGUUCUAUAAAGGCCAUAGCUACAUUGGCCGAUAAUCUUCCUUUUCAGUGUCAUAUGGAGUGAACUGUCUAAAAGCCUCCACGAGUCACUCCAUGAACGCUGAUGGGGACUCACUGGGGCCUUGCCUAAUUUCCCUUACCUUGGCCAAAUUGGUGGGCUUCCUCACAGCCCCUUUGAGACCUGCCAACGGAGCCUGGUGAUAAACUUUGAGGUGCCCCCUACCUUCAGCAGUAUUGAAGUCCCAUUUGGGUCUUUUGAGAGGGAAGGCCUCCUUAAUGGUGGUGGGAUUCUGGGUUGGGGUCCCGUUGUCCCCUGGUACAUUUUUCCAGGUCUCCAACAGGAUCCGUUCCCGUUCCUCAGUGGUAAACAGCACCUGUAGCAACUGCUGACAAUCUUCCCGGGUGAGCUGGUGCCCAGUCCAGUGAGUCCUGCCCCAGACAUAUAGUGGAUAUCUGAUCUUUAAGGAAACCAGAUCCAGCUAGGUCAUGAGCCCUGUGGCAGGGGACAGGGAAUAAUUUCCAGAGAAGAUGCUGACCAAUAAAUCUUCAGGACAUUCGGAGGAAUCGAGUGGUUAUGUGGAGUCUGUUCUUGGACUACUUCUUCCUGAGUCUGUGUGCAGGUGCACACACAUUUUAAGUCCUCAGGGGAGACGUUAACUGCAUAUUCAGAAUCUCCCUCAGGGGUUCUGGUUCCUGAGGAAAUCCACGUGUGCCAACAACUCUCUAAUCAAGUGGCUGACAGCAAGCCUGUUCCCAACUGGAGCCUGUGUGUGCUGAGCUGUGGUUGGUUCUCUAGCCAAAGCUCAAGAAGCUUUUUCCUGUCGUGACCCUUCCUUCAGCUGAAAUUCAGAUACUAGAUGAGACUCUGAUGUCAUCAUUACCCCUACCUCUAAAAGCUGUGGUACUUAGUGCCUCCACCCCCACCCCACUUUUCUUAGAAACAGGCAUCUCUGACAUUAGUGCCUGGGGUCGCAUCUGUCCCCAGAGUCCCACAAAGCCAUUCUACCUCCCUCACAACCCAUCUGCUUGUGCCUUCUAGGGGUGCCAACUGGCUUAAGAAAAGGGAACAUUAAGGAUCUGGAGAGAUGGCUCAGAGGUUAAGAGCACUGGCUGUUCUUCCAGAGGUUGUGAGUUCAAUUCCCAGCAACCACAUGGUGGCUCAAACCAUCUAUAAUGAGAUCUGGUGCCCUCUUCUGGCAUGCAGGUGUACAUGCAGGCAGAACACUGUACACAUAAUAAAUAAAUAAAUUUAUCUUAAAAAAAAAA
Molecule: long non-coding RNA, 2202 nt
Organism: Meriones unguiculatus (Mongolian gerbil)
Lineage: Eukaryota; Metazoa; Chordata; Mammalia; Rodentia; Muridae
Exons: 3
Source: RefSeq, a predicted model, not a curated record